ACCUAACAGUUAUUGGUCAUACUUCUUAGUUAAAUCCGACCCACUAUUCACUAGUAGAUGCAAAGCCGUCAUUGGGACCCUCACCUAAAGUCAUUGGGCCCAACCUCAUCCUUACCCUGGAGCAACUCUUUGCUAAUAGAGUGAUUACAUAUUUUCGAUAUAACUGAACUACUGUGACCAGUCGAGAACAAUUAACAUCAGUACCACACCCGCAUAUCUACAACGGUGGAAGACCUAUGGACUUAAUAUUUAUGG
RNAcentral lists this long non-coding RNA (255 nucleotides) under Elaeis guineensis (African oil palm). Its description in RNAcentral is "long non-coding RNA (EGUI_LNC038932)". The record is from RNAcentral. Lineage: Eukaryota; Viridiplantae; Streptophyta; Magnoliopsida; Arecales; Arecaceae.